AUGACUUAGUGGUUAAGGACUGUACUGCUGUUGCAGAGGACCUGAGUUCGUUUCUCAGU
RNAcentral lists this transfer RNA (59 nucleotides) under Mesocricetus auratus (golden hamster). It matches the Rfam family "tRNA", at positions 7 to 64 of the family's 71-position model. Rfam says of the family: Transfer RNA (tRNA) molecules are approximately 80 nucleotides in length. Their secondary structure includes four short double-helical elements and three loops (D, anti-codon, and T loops). The record is from Rfam by way of RNAcentral. Lineage: Eukaryota; Metazoa; Chordata; Mammalia; Rodentia; Cricetidae.